GACAGGGACAACCUCCUUGUCAAAGCCUGAUCUCAUCAUAAGCAGGGUCGGGUCUGGUUAGUUCUUGGAUGAGAGACCACAGGGAAUUCCAGGUAUCACAGUGG
This 104-nucleotide ribosomal RNA is filed under the name Periophthalmus magnuspinnatus. The record is from RNAcentral. Lineage: Eukaryota; Metazoa; Chordata; Actinopteri; Gobiiformes; Gobiidae.